GGCUGGUCUGAAGGUAAUGAGUUAUCUUACUUGAUUGUUCACAGUCAGUUACAGAUUGAACUCCUUGUUCUACUCUUCCAUCCCCCCCUCUCCCUAGUGCACUUAAAUAGUCUUAA
Unclassified non-coding RNA from Otolemur garnettii (small-eared galago), 116 nucleotides. It matches the Rfam family "Y RNA". From Rfam's summary of the family: Y RNAs are components of the Ro ribonucleoprotein particle (Ro RNP), in association with Ro60 and La proteins. The Y RNAs and Ro60 and La proteins are well conserved, but the function of the Ro RNP is not known. The record is from Ensembl. NCBI's taxonomy places the organism in Eukaryota, Metazoa, Chordata, Mammalia, Primates, Galagidae.